AGACUUUCACCUUCAUCUGGGCUCUUCUCAUCAUACUGCAGCUGCUUGUGGAUAGUAUCCAGAAGGAGGCAGGUGGUGGGCCAGGGACAUAUCAGGCCUGUCAUAUAAUGGGAGGGCAAGGAUAGCCCCUUCAGACUUGCCAUUGAAUGUCGGUCAGGACGCCAGAGCUGUGGUGGCUCUCCAGCACCAGAGACGCAAAGAUAGAAAACCAGUGAGCUGAGGAUGGCUGGGUACUUGGGGACCCUGUUGGAGCUUGCAUGAGAUCUGGGAGCUGCCUGCCUCCCCACUCCUAGUUAAAUUUGGUAUUGGCUCCAUCUCUUCAAGUUCCUCUGUGGCAGAUGCCACUGAGGUUUUAUCUAAGCGUCAUCACUACCGUCCUCCCAGGGGCUACUUCUUCCUGCCUCCAAUUCCUGUGAGCCUCGUCCCCUCAGUCCUCAUCGUCCCGGAUGAACCCAACAGUGGCUUUGUAGCAGAUGCCAAAGGGCCCAUGGAAGAUCACAGCCUCAUGGAAAGGAUGCAUUGUCCUCCCAGCAUUCUAGGGCUUGGGCCUUUUCUGUAGAACUUCGGUAUGCCCCACUCUGAGGAUAGAUGACAAUAUCAUAUUGGAAAGGCCAGUGAGAUAUCUGGGACAGCCAUCUCUCUCAUUAAGUGGAAACCUAGUCCCUUUUGUGGAGAAAUUCAUAACAAUAAACUUGCGGUGGAUUGUUACAAAGGGCACAUGGAAGGAUAAGUUGCAUUAAACCCAGAGUCCUGUGGGAUCCCACAGAAAGACUGGCUUAGACUCAAAUGCUAAUAGCCCCACUGAUGAUCACAGACUACUUGAGUGCGCAGAAAUGGCAAGGCCAAGUUGUCUACUCUUUCCCCAGCUGGCAGGAGCAGUCUUCCUGGAACAGCUCCCUCCUACCUCCCAUUCUCUGUGCACUUAAAAACUUCUGGGAAUCUUACUUCCUGCCCCAAGCCUUGUCAGACAAAUGGAUGGAUUGAGAAAUCACCUUUCACAGAAACCUCAUGGCCUUACUUUCAGACACAAUGAUUAGAAAAUAAAACAAAACACCAAAUUAAUUAUUUUCUAGAGCAAAGUGUGAACCCUAGAAAAUAAUACCAGAGUAUUUUUCAGACCCAUCUAGAGAGUAGGAUGCUGGACAGGGAGCAUGCAGAGGGCUGAAUAUAUGCAGGGCCCUGCCUCUGCUGGGCGGCUUAGUCUCACAUGUCUUCCUCUUUAAUCCUUGAGAUGAUUCUUUGGAGUAAGGAAUACAAUUAUUAGUAGCUAAGUGAGGGAAAAGAGGCUCACCGAGUUUGGAGAAUUUAUGUCAGAUCACACAGCUAUUUGCAACUGACCUAGGAUGAAUCUGUCUGAUUUCCAAAGCUCAUGGAUAUCUCACUGUACUCCUUUGAGUUGUCACAUGAAUUGUGCUCCUCAAUUCAUCCACCAGUACCCUGCACCUCCACAUGGCCAAUCCAUCUGGUCCCCAACCAUGUGUGCACCACACCCUGAGGCUGUGCAGGGCCCAGUGGUGAUUGCUAUUGUCUCCAUUGUCCAUAGUUUUCCUGAACCAACUCAUAAGUUGGUUGGAACUACCCUUUGGGGAGAUGCAGUCUUCCCUCUGCUUCUCUGUUAGGCUUGUGCCUGGUCUCCUGAGGGUCCACAGGUCUUUGGGAGGAUAGCCCCUCCUUACCCUGCUCCCACCAUGAAGAGCAGAGUCUGAUUCUGCUUGUUUCAAACCUGGCACUGCUGUUCCAGUCACUCCUGCAAUCCCUAUUUUGUGUUGUCUUGGUGGUAGUUUGUGUGUAUUUGUUCACUGGUUAGUCUGAGAGCAGCUCUGCAUUCAAAACUCAUUUGGUCAACAAAGAUGCAUGACCUGCCCUCAGCCCACUGAUAAACCCUUCUCCAACUCAGGUUAGUGGCUCUGCCCACUUCUUUAAGGGGUUCAUUUCCAGAAACCUCUCUUGACAAUUUUGGACACUAAGUGAAAGGAUGGCCUUGCUAAUAAAUUAACAGAGAAAAACAAACUAUCUAACAGAAAGACAAAAAGAAAGAUCAUAGCACAUAAUUGCCCUUUUGAAGAGAAAGAUCACAACACACAACUGCCCCUUUGUUUGAUUGGCAACCUGUGAAUUGAGCAGAUAGGAGUAUGAUGCCCCUAAUGCCCCAGUUCCUGCCAGACCACUUCCCAAGGACCCUGAUAAGCCAGCCUCAGAGAGAAGAGGGAAACACAGAUGCAGCCACUUCAAAGCUGUCUUCUUCUAUCAGCCAGCAGUCAUAACUAUUCUUUUUUUCUUCUUUCUUUACCCCCAAUAAAAACCCCAAACCCUUUAUCCUCCCUGCCGGCACUUCUUCUUUCUUUCCUGUGCUAAGCCCUUUCCCUCCACCCCAAAGUAAAAUAAACUUUUUACUUCCUUCUA
This is a non-coding RNA of Microcebus murinus (gray mouse lemur), 2403 nucleotides long. Lineage: Eukaryota; Metazoa; Chordata; Mammalia; Primates; Cheirogaleidae. The record is from RefSeq and is a predicted model, not a curated record.